AGCAGCCGCGGUAAUUCCAGCUCCAAUAGCGUAUAUUAAAGUUGUUGCAGUUAAAAGCUCGUAGUUGAAUUUCGGGAUCAAUAUAUCGGUCGUGCCUUGGUACGUACUGGUAUCAUUGGUUUCUCCUUUCUGACGAACCAUGAUGUCAUUAAUUUGGUGUUAUGGGAAGUUAGGACUGUUACUUUGAAAAAAAUUAGAGUGUUUAAAGCAGGCUUUGGCUUGAAUACAUUAGCAUGGAAUAAUGAAAUAGGACGUUCGAACCUAUUUUGUUGGUUUCUAGGAUCAACGUAAUGAUUAAUAGGGAUAGUUGGGGGCAUUAGUAUUCAAUUGUCAGAGGUGAAAUUCUUGGAUUUAUUGAAGACUAACUACUGCGAAAGCAUUUGCCAAGGAUGUUUUCAUUAAUCAAGAACGAAAGUUAGGGGAUCGAAGACGAUCAGAUACCGUCGUAGUCUUAACCAUAAACUAUGCCGACUAGGGAUCGGAUGAUGUUAAUUUUUUUAAUGACUCAUUCGGCGCCUUA
RNAcentral lists this unclassified non-coding RNA (520 nucleotides) under uncultured Glomus. RNAcentral's name for it is "SSU rRNA". It matches the Rfam family "Eukaryotic small subunit ribosomal RNA", at positions 569 to 1090 of the family's 1831-position model. Lineage: Eukaryota; Fungi; Glomeromycota; Glomeromycetes; Glomerales; Glomeraceae. The record is from RNAcentral.